Molecule: long non-coding RNA, 838 nt
Filed under: Meriones unguiculatus (Mongolian gerbil)
Lineage: Eukaryota; Metazoa; Chordata; Mammalia; Rodentia; Muridae
Description: lncRNA (ENSMUGG00000003766.1)
Source: RNAcentral
GCUGUGAUGGAAGAGUAUGGCACAGACAGACCUCUAGUUCUCUCAGCGGAGUUAUGAGUCUGGUUAAGUGUUGGGAAUGGAGCCUUGCUGCAAGCAACAAGGCUCCAUCUUGAAAGGUCAUAACCGGUUUGUUCCUUUGUCUUACACUUCCCAACCUCUAAAAUGUUAACUUUUUAAUUGUUUUGUUUCGUUUGUUUGGUUUUUGAGACAUUUUGUUUCUCUGUGUAGCGCUGGCUACAUGACUGGAGUUUGAAAGAAUCUUAUGGUGAACUGUGGUGAAACCAUGACAACAGCAGCAUGGGGAGGAGAGUAAAAUAAACACGGACAUAUUGUUGGUGGGCAAAAUUAGAAUCCUUCCAGUUAACCCCAUUCUGGUUGAUGCUUAUUAGUUGCUUCCUGUUCAAUACUCUCCCUCUUCUCUCCUCUCCAACUCUCCCCUCCCAGUGUCAGUUCCCUUUCUCUCCACCCCUUCUCUCCCUCCCUUUUAUAGGCUCCCAAGUAGUUUAGGCUGAUUCCAACUCUGAAUUUUCCAUCCUUCUUCUUUGUACGAGAUCACAGGUGUAUGCUAGCAUCACAUGUGACCUGGUUCUCUCUUCCUAGGUUUGAAAUGCACAAUGAAGAGAAAUAAAAGCAGAAAGAUCUCCAGAAAGAAUCCAUGAUGAGAUUCAAGGUUUCACAGUCCAAGCUAAUGUCCGUGGAAACUUUCAGUGACCCAAGAACAUUGCACUCCUGGCAAAAGAAGUGUGGCAACACUAAGGCAAGUAUCUGCUUGAACAGAAAGAUGAUACAGAAAUACAGAAUGCAGGAGGAAGGAAUAGGAAGGACCCAACAAACUUGA